GACGAACGCUGGCGGCGUGCUUAACACAUGCAAGUCGAACGGAAAGGCGCUGCGUUUGUGGGGUGCUCGAGUGGCGAACGGGUGUGUAACACGUGAGGAACCUGCCCUUGUCUUUGGGAUAACUUCAGGGGACUGGGGCUAAUAUCGGAUAGGAUCUCCUGAUGCAUGGUGGGGGUUGGAGAGUUUCGGCGGUUGGGUAUGGACUCGCGGCUUAUCCGCUGGUUUGUGUGGUAGUGGCUGACCAAGGCUUUGACGGGUAGGCGGCCUGAGAGGGUGACCAGCCACCAUGGGACUGAGAGACGGAGCAGAAUCCUACGGGAGGCAGCAGUGGAGAAUAUUGCACAACGGGCGGACGCCUGAUGCAGAAACGCCGCGAGCGGGAUGCCGGCCUUCGGGUUGUAAACCGCUUUCGACUGUGACGAAGCGUGCGUGACGGUAAUGGGUAAAGAAGCACCGGCUAACUACGUG
Molecule: ribosomal RNA, 468 nt
Filed under: uncultured bacterium
Lineage: Bacteria
Description: partial 16S ribosomal RNA
Rfam family: Bacterial small subunit ribosomal RNA
Source: RNAcentral